AAUAGAUACCCUGGUAGUCCACGCCGUAAACGAUGAGUGCUAAGUGUUAGGGGGUUUCCGCCCCUUAGUGCUGCAGCUAACGCAUUAAGCACUCCGCCUGGGGAGUACGGCCGCAAGGCUGAAACUCAAAGGAAUUGACGGGGGCCCGCACAAGCGGUGGAGCAUGUGGUUUAAUUCGAAGCAACGCGAAGAACCUUACCAGGUCUUGACAUCUCCUGGCCGCCCUGGAGACAGGGUCUUCCCUUCGGGGACAGGAUGACAGGUGGUGCAUGGUUGUCGUCAGCUCGUGUCGUGAGAUGUUGGGUUAAGUCCCGCAACGAGCGCAACCCUUGUCCUUAGUUGCCAGCAUUCAGUUGGGCACUCUAAGGAGACUGCCGGCUAAAAGUCGGAGGAAGGUGGGGAUGACGUCAAAUCAUCAUGCCCCUUAUGACCUGGGCUACACACGUGCUACAAUGGGCGGUACAGAGGGUCGCGAACCCGCGAGGGGGAGCCAAUCCCAAAAAACCGCUCUCAGUUCGGAUUGCAGG
RNAcentral lists this ribosomal RNA (527 nucleotides) under uncultured bacterium. RNAcentral describes it as "bacterial SSU rRNA". It matches the Rfam family "Bacterial small subunit ribosomal RNA", at positions 777 to 1304 of the family's 1533-position model. The record is from RNAcentral.